CCUCAGAGGCUGACUUCUACAGCCAUUUGUGCUGCUGGGACUGCCUGAGAAGAUCCUGACUACUACGAACUACAGUGCCGUCUCCUCCUCUCCCGAGUCCCGGCCCAGCUCCGCCUCCAGCCUGCAGGGGUUUUUUUUUUUUUUUUUUUUAGAAAAGGGCGUGGUCAUCGGCGGGUCCGCGAUUAGGCCACACCCCCGACUUUUCCUGGGGCCUGGUGGCGGUCGUCUGUCUGUUUCCCGUCCUAUGCCAGCCGACUCUGUGGGGACCUGGAGAGACCUGCGGCAUUGUGGUGCAAUGAAGUGACAUGGAGCACCGUUGGUGCAUUACUAGCAGCAGGAAGCAGUCCCGCCAAUCCAGCCCAUCCCUCACCUUUUCUUCCUCUCUCUGACCCCGCUGCUGCCGGCACUGAUAAGAAGGGGGACCUGCCGCUGCCCAAGAAUUCUACCCGAUUGUGGAUCUGCGGGUGGGGAAAGGGAUAUCCUAUUCCCCCAAAUAUACCUUGAUAUGAGGAGUCCAGCACACUGAUGGUUGUGUAAGAGCAGACAUGCUUUUGUCAUUAAAAGAGGACAGCCCAGUGGCAUAUUGGUCAGCAUUGCUAUCUCGCAGUGCCGGAAUCAUGAUCUUAGUUCUCAAUCAAGGCCAAGGCGCUAUUUGUGUGAAGUUUGCAUGUUCUCACCAUACAUGUGUGGGUUUCCUCAAGGUACCCCGGCUACUUUCCAUACAUCAAACACAUACUGGCAGGGGUCCUCUCUGACAGCUUGCAAUGUAAAUGACCACACAGGCGCAAUACGGCCGCUGCUGCGUGAACAGGUUGCAGAUGUACGGCAAACUGCGAUGUGGCCGCUUUAUGUGCUCAGCAGAAUUCUGUGUUAUGUAAUAGGGCGGGCUUACUGAGCCCACUGACCCCUUCUGAUGCUAAUAUGUGUGGUUACUGCAUAAUAAUUAGUGAUAUUGAUGUCACAGGGAGCGACACCUGGAGGCUGAUGCUGAUCCUCCCCAGCUGGUGACGGGAGAACCUUAUACAUGGGGGGUCCUCGCUGACCGCGUUAGACAAGUGCAGGAAGAGUCUGAGGUCACUAUAUUACAGGAGACAGGGACUUCCCUAAGCAGAGAGCAAGGGUCUCUGAAACUCAGCUUGCGGACCACUAUGGAGCUGCCAUGGCAAUGCCCGAUGUGAGGGUGCACAACCAAUAGGACCCCAUGUGAUGCCAGUGAAAAGCUUCUGGGAUGAAUGUUAGUACAAUAUUUCAAAACUCUGAAGUUCCAUGAAAGAAUAGAAGACUUGUGCAGAGAGAUCCCCGGUGUCCCCCGAAGCUGUACAUGAAGAUUGUACUUUGGGAGGGAGGCAGGUGUAACAUGAUGGAAGACAACUUACAGAAACAAUUCUAAUAAUCAGAAGGAUAAAGUGCUGCUUCUUAGGCUCACACAAUACUAACAAGAUAUCAUUCUAUGUCCUCACCUUGCACUGGAGAUGGUAAGAGGCCCAUUCCUCAUCAGAAGAUGUUCCAAGUCACCACCACUCGCAUACUCCAUACCAAGGAGCACGUGCUCCUGUUUAUGGGAGAAGCAAUAGUGUUAUUAUACAUGUCAGGAAAGUCAGGGGGGAAAGAGUUGGACCUUGGGGAAUGUCAUCUUCUGACCAAAAUAAGUAAAGAUAAAUGAUAUACAUUAUUCAUUGUUAAACAUGUCCUUCACUUCUUUUCUCCUCAUGGGAAUAUAAUGGACAGUCAUGGGGGGGACAAGGAGAACAGAGAGAGGGCACAGGGACAAAAGGGGCAAAUAAGAAUCUUACUAUACCACAGUCUAUGGAACAUGUUCUAUAAUCGUUUUACAGUGAGUUAGUAACACAUAACACCAAUAAAAUGAUUAUUUUUACACUAAAACAUUAUACCAGGUAGUAAAUUGUCCUACAUGCAAACAUUAAUAGUCAUUGAUGCAUCUAAAACAUAAAACACUGAAUAAUUGCAGAAGAGCUACAAGUGUAUUAGUUGUAGCAGGUGUUAUUAAUAGCAUUGAUCCUCAGACCAUGGAGCACAUGACACAAGGCCAUUCUCACCUCCCUGCAGGAAACAGGGAAGAUGCAUGUGUACCUGAUCCAGAAAUACCACUGUCUCUCUAUCUGUCCUGUCUCGCAUGGUCCAGGGUCUCAGUGUGACUGUCAGCAUUGGCGUGUGCACGGGGGGUGCCUGGUGCGCACAGGCACCCCCUAAUGUCCUCCCGCACAUCACACCUGCUACUACAGCAGCACGCACACAGACUGCGCUGCUCAUCGCUGUCCGGGCUGCCUGUCACACAGUCACCGGCGCUAUCUUUCUCCACUGUGACACCCCCUCCCGUCGCGCCAGACAACCGGUCAGACAGACUCACAGACCGCCUCGCACAGCCACUUAAAUAUACUUAUUGCUGGGGAAAACUUGGUACAGAGCACAGGAGGUUUGUCACUUCAAUAAAUCAGCUGGACAGUUUGGUCCAGCUGAUUUAUUGGUGUGCCGCACUGCCCUGUGUUCUAUCAAUGAAAGGCUGCGGCACUCACAGGUCUUGUAAUCCGUAUGCAGGUUAUAUACUGGUCCUCAUCUUAGCAAGACAUUGUGUAAGGGGCACGACUACUGGUUGGCAUUGUGUAAGUGGCACGACUACUGUGUGGGCAUUGUGUAAGGGGCACAACUACUGUAGGCAUUGUGUAAGGGGCACAACUACUGUGGGCAUUGUGUAAGGGGCACAACUACUGUAGGCAUUGUGUUAGGGGCACAACUACUGUGGGCAUUGUGUAAGGGGCACAACUACUGUGUGGGCAUUGUGUAAGUGGCACUACUACUAUGUGGGCAUUGAUAAGGGGCACUACUACUGUGUGGGCAUAGUGUAAGGGGCACUACUAUGUGGGCAUUGAUAAGGGGCACUACUACUAUGUGGGCAUAGUGUAAGGGGCACUACUAUGUGGGCAUUGAUAAGGGGCACUACUACUAUGUGGGCAUUGAUAAGGGGCACUGAUACUGUGUGGGCAUAGUGUAAGGGGCACUACUACUAUGUGGGCAUUGAUAAGGGGCACUACUACUGUGUGGGCAUAGUGUAAGGGGCACUACUACUAUGUGGGCAUUGAUAAGGGGCACUACUACUGUGUGGGCAUAGUGUAAGGGGCACUACUACUGUGUGGGCAUAGUGUAAGGGGCACUACUACUGUGUGGGCAUUGAUAAGGGGCACUACUACUGUGUGGGCAUUGAUAAGGGGCACUACUACUGUGUGGGCAUAGUGUAAGGGGCACUACUACUAUGUGGGCAUUGAUAAGGGGCACUACUACUGUGUGGGCAUAGUGUAAGGGGCACUACUACUGUGUGGGCAUAGUGUAAGGGGCACUACUACUAUGUGGGCAUUGAUAAGGGGCACUACUACUGUGUGGGCAUAGUGUAAGGGGCACUACUGUGGGCAUUGUGUAAGGGGCACUGAUACUGUGUGGGCAUUGUGUAAGGGGCACUACUACUGUGUGGGCAUUGUGUAAGGGGCACUGAUACUGUGUGGGCAUUGUGUAAGGGGCACUACUACUAUGUGAGGUGGAGGCUGAGAGACAGAGUAAAGGGUGGGAAGCCGUCUGCCCAGGGAGGACAUUUCUUCAGAGGUUCCCCAUAGAGAGAAACCACCAUAGGUGAGGUGCAUAUGUAAUGGAAAGGAAUGCUCCCAGAGUAAUGAGAAACAGGUAUCGUGUCAUUUUGACACUCCCCCAUUUUCAGUGGCCAGGCCUUUUGUGUUAUGUAUUUUAUAUUGCUUUGAGUGCCAAUAGGCUGUGCUAGACACACCCCUCCAGCGGUGCACGCCCUAAUAAAAUAUUCUGCGGACGCCUAUGACUGUCAAAAUUCACCCUCACUGCCGCAGUGAGGCUACGUGUAAGUAAUGACAGCCAUCAGCCAGUAUCAAUCCGCUACACCAGGCCUGGCCAACCUGUGGCUCUCCAGCUGUUGUGAAACUACAAAUCCCA
Pseudophryne corroboree (corroboree frog) is the source of this 3969-nucleotide long non-coding RNA. RefSeq lists it as uncharacterized. Lineage: Eukaryota; Metazoa; Chordata; Amphibia; Anura; Myobatrachidae. The record is from RefSeq and is a predicted model, not a curated record. The transcript is spliced from 7 exons.